UGACCAAAAUUUAUCAUCCUAAUGAAGACA
RNAcentral lists this non-coding RNA (30 nucleotides) under Mus musculus (house mouse). Lineage: Eukaryota; Metazoa; Chordata; Mammalia; Rodentia; Muridae. The record is from RNAcentral.